AUAAUAAAACGGUUAUGAGGACAAAGGGGAAAGUGAUAAAUUCAGUUUUUGAAGAGCAGAGAGUGGAAAUGCUAUGUAAAUAUUUUAAAGCUGAGCCUUGAAGGAGAAGCCAGUAUCAUCUCUCUAUUCUUUGUGAAGUAGUAUCUUGAUCCAAGCCAUAGAGAUCAGGGGGUUCCUGUCGUAGCUCAGUGGUUAAUGAAUAUGACUAGGAACCAUGGGGUUGCGAGUUUGAUCCCUGGCCUUGCUCAGUGGCUUAGGGAUCUGGCGUUGCUGUGAGCUGUGGUGUGGGUCGCAGACAUGCCUCGGAUUCCACGUUACUGUGGUUCUGACUUAGGCCUGCAGAUACAGCUCCAAUUCAACCCCUAGCCUGGGAGCCUCCAUAUGCCACAGGAACAGCCCUAGAAAAGGCAAAAAGACAAAAACAAACAAACAAAAACAAGCCAUAGAGACCAUAAAUUAUAGAUAAUGGUCAGCAAUCUAGUGCAGUAGAACUUUGAACUGCUGAACAUUUCUAUGAGAGAACAGCAAGGAUAUAAUAACUUAAAGUGAAGGAACAGAUUUCAGUUGGAUAGACUUAAUAGGUAUUUUAAAUAGUUAUCCAAUUUGUUCUGACCACUCUAUGAGGUAGAAUUUAUGAUUCUCAUUUUACAGAUGAAGAAACUGAGCCAUGGAGAAGUUAUAUUUUUUGGUUUAACCUGACUCGAUUUUAAAUGACCAACUCAAUUUUCAAAAACAAGCUUGUUUCCAAAGGGCACACAUUUUUAACUACAAAGCAAUGCCCACUCUUAUUAUACAGGGCAGAUAACUAGUUUGACAUAUAUAUAUGUAAUGUAAUGACAUAUAUAUAUAUAAAGCAGAGCAUAAAUUAAGAUGAAGUUUUCUCAUUUCAUCAAGGUAAGAAAAUUGAUUUAUUUUUUUCAUUUGGAAUAUCAAACACAAUAGAUAACUUUAAACAAAUGAUUGGAGAAAAAAAAUCAUAGCAUGAGUUGCACAUAGCAAUAUUCCCUUCAAACACAAAUUCAUGAUAUUCAAAGCCAGGUUUGAUGAUAAAAACAUACCACCCUCUAAAUACAAGGAUAAAGUACUCUCUUUAAUUGAAUCCUGUUGUAUACUUAGGUUACAUGUUUCAGUUAAUCUAUUGAACUUGUUACUACUUUAUAUCUUUUUAACUUACGGCACAAAUCUUCAUGAUGCUUAUUAACAGACAAAAUCAGCCCUUAGGAAACCAAAUAGUUGUAAAUAAAAUAAAAUGCAUCUUAUAUUUUGGACUUUUAUGUCCUUCUCUUUUAAAAAAAUAUGAUUAAAUAUCAUUAGAGAUAAAUCUUUGUGUAUAUCAUCACAUGGAGGGGUAUUUCAAAGAAACACAAAUGAUCUGAAGUUUUAUUUGAUAUUUCAGUUACUGUUAUUUGGAAGGAAACAAGAGAAUGUAUAAUGGCCAUUAUGUUGUUUGGUUGUUGCUCUAUCACUUCUUCCAUUUGAAUUUGAUUUAUUCCUUUUGAAGAACAACUAUUCAUACCAUUUUGGUCCAUGUGAUUUUAAGUAAUGCUAACUCUUCCUUCUAGAUUCCAGAGGUGGCCUCAUAAACCAGACUUUUCAGAGUUUCCUUUCUUUCUUGUUUAGGGUAUAAUUACUUUAUUUUCUCUAAUUGUAUCUUUACAGAACAUUUUUGGUUUUAAACAGAGAGAUAUGUUCUGUCUAUAUGAAAUGUAGAUCUUGAUUGAAUAAUGGAGCUGUAGGUGUACUUCUUAAUGAUGGGUUGUAUAUAGAUGCCUAGAAAAUGAAGUCAACAUAGAGAAGGUCAUCGCCCAAAAAAAAGAUAAAAUUUGAGUCAUACUACUACAAUUUGAGGUCCCGAUGGCUGGAACAUUUCAAGGAUGAGUGAAUAAAUAUCCUUAUUCAUUUUCUUGUUCCUUCUUUCCCUCCCCAUUAUCUUCCUCCCUUCUUCCUUGUUAAUCUUUUCUUUCUUUUAUUUUUUUCAAAUUUAUGCUACUUUAAGAUGAGAUGUCUGUACAUAGCAAAUAAUAAUAAUUCUUAUUAAUAAAGGAAGUAGCAUUUAAACAAUUAAGUAAGGUUUAUAUACUGGCAGGUUACUGCUUUAUUAACAUGGCUGAAGGCAGCUUAAUAAUGGCAUGAGGCCAUGACACUUAGGGGGUCUCACAUUAGGGCACAAACCUCAGAUGACUCAGCUUCAAAUCCUUUUGACUAUAUAUGUAUUCAUUCAAAAUACGUAUUACCAAAAGAGGGCUUGAAUGACUUAGUUUGUGACAUAUUAAUAUUAUCGGCUGGUGUGAGUGUAGAGGGUCAUAUGAAUUUGGGUUUAAUUGGGUUUAGUCACUUCUUUCCAUAUGGCUUAAUGUAGAGCAGUGCCCAAGUUUCUGCUGUGGUGCAGUGGGUUAAGGAUCCAUCAUUGUUCCUGUGUCAGCACAGGCCCAUACAGUGGGUUAAGGAUCCUGUGUUUCCAUAGCUAUAGUGUAGUUGGCAUCUGUGGAUCAGAUUUGAUCCCUGGUCUGGGCAGGUGUGGCCAUUAAAAAAGUAAUAAUAAAGUAGGGCAGUGCCAAAGGAAAGAAGGGCUAUAUCCAAAAAAGUUGGAAAAGGAUGUUCUAUAUGAAAAAAACUACCAGUCAAAUGUAUGAACAUAUGUAUCAAAUUGUCAUAAUAAAAAAGAAUAAUCUUAUUUUAAAAUGAAGUAUUCAUAUUUGUAAUAUACAACCACAGAUCAGUUUGGAAAAAAAUCUUAUUUUAUCUGUAGAGAGAUUUAAGGAUGGAUAAUCCAUUCAAAUUAUUCUAAGUAGGGAUCUUCUAAAAACAGAAACUUGGCUAAGGAAUAUGUAAAACAAUUUUGGGGAAAUCAGUUUCAUGGUUUCAGAGCCAGAAACUACUAAAUGAUUAAGAGAAUGAAAGGGAACAUAAGAUUUCAGUUUCCAGCAAUUUCACAGAUUAGAGACACUGAAUAAACCUCCCAUUGAAAACAACUAAAACACGUGGAACAAAAUAUUUAAAUACUUAAUAUUUCAAAUCUAAUGCAGAGCUGACAAAAUGUAGCAAAUCCUUAGAAGCCAAAAAUAAAAUGGAAGCUGAAAGGCAUGAAGAUAGGCAAAUACUAAAGCUGGUUCUUGAUCUGACAUUAUGUUCUAAACCCUAAUGCAUUUAGGCUUUUGCUUUAAAUAUUUCAGAGGACACUGGAGCUAGAAUUAAAGAUUAAGGCUACCCAAAGCAGGAAGUCAAAAAGCAUCCAAGAUAAACUUGUGAUGCCAAAAGGCUUUAUC
This 3266-nucleotide long non-coding RNA is filed under the name Sus scrofa (pig). RNAcentral describes it as "lncRNA (ENSSSCG00000059487.1)". The record is from RNAcentral. Lineage: Eukaryota; Metazoa; Chordata; Mammalia; Artiodactyla; Suidae.